RNAcentral lists this small RNA (558 nucleotides) under uncultured Fusobacterium sp. RNAcentral's name for it is "bacterial SSU rRNA". The stretch from base 1 to 341 matches the Rfam family "Bacterial small subunit ribosomal RNA", at positions 1194 to 1533 of the family's 1533-position model. Lineage: Bacteria; Fusobacteriati; Fusobacteriota; Fusobacteriia; Fusobacteriales; Fusobacteriaceae. The record is from RNAcentral.
CAUGCCCCUUAUACGCUGGGCUACACACGUGCUACAAUGGGUAGUACAGAGAGUCGCAAAGCCGCGAGGUGGAGCUAAUCUCAGAAAACUAUUCUUAGUUCGGAUUGUACUCUGCAACUCGAGUACAUGAAGUUGGAAUCGCUAGUAAUCGCGAAUCAGCAAUGUCGCGGUGAAUACGUCCUCGGGUCUUGUACACACCGCCCGUCACACCACGAGAGUUGGUUGCACCUGAAGUAGCAGGCCUAACCGUAAGGAGGGAUGCUCCGAGGGUGUGAUUAGCGAUUGGGGUGAAGUCGUAACAAGGUAUCCGUACGGGAACGUGCGGAUGGAUCACCUCCUUUCUAAGGAGAAUAAGUCUUUCUCUAUUCUAUUGGUAAUGUUCUUUACAUUACUUCUGAACAUUGGAAACUAUAUAGUAGAACAAACAAGAAAAAAAAUUAACUCUAACAAUUUCUUAGAGUUAGCUGUCAAAAAAAUAGGUUAAAAUAAUUAAGGGCACACAAAGGAUGCCUAGGUAGUAAGAGCCGAUGAAGGACGUGGUAAGCUGCGAUAAGCCUA